Molecule: ribosomal RNA, 320 nt
Filed under: uncultured Chlorobiota bacterium
Lineage: Bacteria; Pseudomonadati; Chlorobiota
Description: bacterial SSU rRNA
Rfam family: Bacterial small subunit ribosomal RNA
Source: RNAcentral
GACGAACGCUGGCGGCGUGCCUAACACAUGCAAGUCAAAGGGAAGCAACUUCGGUUGUAAGUACUUGGCGCAAGGGUGAGUAAUGUAUAGGUAAUCUGCCCUUUGGACUGGGAUAACCCCGAGAAAUCGGGGACAAUACCAGAUGACGCAGCGGGACCGCAUGGUACUGUUGUUAAAGAUUUAUCGCCAAAGGAUGAGCCUAUAUCCCAUCAGCUAGUUGGUAGGGUAAAGGCCUACCAAGGCUACGAUCAGUAGCUGGUCUGAGAGGAUGAUCAGCCACACUGGAACUGAGGCACGGUCCAGACACCUACGGGUGGCAG